This 107-nucleotide small nucleolar RNA is filed under the name Ricinus communis (castor bean). RNAcentral's name for it is "Plant small nucleolar RNA R71". It matches the Rfam family "Plant small nucleolar RNA R71". Rfam says of the family: R71 is a member of the C/D box family of snoRNAs containing the C (UGAUGA) and D (CUGA) box motifs. Multiple nearly identical copies of this snoRNA have been identified in Arabidopsis, and it is thought to function as a 2'-O-ribose methylation guide for 18S ribosomal RNA. The record is from Rfam by way of RNAcentral. Lineage: Eukaryota; Viridiplantae; Streptophyta; Magnoliopsida; Malpighiales; Euphorbiaceae.
AAACCUUGCUGUGGGCAACAUCUUAGCAAGUCCUUGUACCUCUCCCAUGCAGCAUACAUGCUAUCAUCAUCAAACUGCACAAAAGAAGAAAUGUCAUUAUGCAUCUU